RNAcentral lists this ribosomal RNA (838 nucleotides) under uncultured bacterium. Its description in RNAcentral is "bacterial SSU rRNA". It matches the Rfam family "Bacterial small subunit ribosomal RNA", at positions 524 to 1381 of the family's 1533-position model. The record is from RNAcentral.
UACGAGGGAUGCAAGCGUUAUCCGGAAUUAUUGGGCGUAAAGCGUUUGUAGGCGGGCGAGUGUGUUUAAUGUUAAAUCUUAAAGCUCAACUUUGAAACUGCGUUAAAAACUGCUUGUCUUGAGUAUGGUAGGGGUAAAGGGAAUUCCCAGUGUAGCGGUGAAAUGCGUAGAUAUUGGGAAGAACACUAAACAGCGAAGGCACUUUACUAGGCUAAUACUGACGCUGAGAAACGAAAGGUAAGGUAGCGAAACGGAUUAGAUACCCGUGUAGUCUUACCCGUAAACUAUGGACACUAAACGGUAAAUUUUUAAUUUACUGUUAAAGCUAACGCGUUAAGUGUCCCGCCUGGGGAGUAUGCUUGCAAAAGUGAAACUCAAAGGAAUUGACGGGGGCCCGCACAAGCGGUGGAGCAUGUGGUUUAAUUCGACGGUACACGAAGAACCUUACCAGGAUUUGACAUGCUAGAUAGUUGCUUGAAAGAGUAACGUGCCGUAAGGAAUCUAGACACAGGUGGUGCAUGGCUGUCGUCAGUUCGUGUUGUGAAAUGUUGGGUUAAGUCCCGCAACGAACGCAACCCUUGUCUUUAGUUAUUUUCUAAAGAGACUGCCUGUAAUAAACAGGAGGAAGGUAAGGAUGAGGUCAAGUCAUCAUGCCCCUUAUGUCCUGGGCUACACACGUGCUACAAUGGGAAAGACAAUGAGCUGCAAAUCUGUAAAUUUAAGCAAAUCUCUUAAACUUUCUCGUAGUUCGGAUUGUGGGCUGCAACUCGCCCACAUGAAGUUGGAAUCGCUAGUAAUCGCCAGUCAGCUAUAUGGCGGUGAAUCCGUUCCCGGGCCU